Equus quagga is the source of this 1693-nucleotide long non-coding RNA. RefSeq lists it as uncharacterized. The record is from RefSeq and is a predicted model, not a curated record. The transcript has 3 exons. Lineage: Eukaryota; Metazoa; Chordata; Mammalia; Perissodactyla; Equidae.
CAGCAGGCCGCCCCCGGACUCUCUCCCUGAAUACCUCCAGGAAGCCUCCUGCUCCCUCGUCACCCGCCUACAUCAGCAAGGAUGGGUGGUAAACAACAACAAAUCACAAGGGCCUGGGUUGUCUGUCAAAUAUUUGGGUGCUGUCUGGUCAGGAUGAUAUCUGCCAACCUCUUCACUGCCUGGGCACACACCUUUGCUGAUAUACAAAAUCGCUCCAACUGCUGGGUAUGCAGCGAGCUGCCUCUCUCUUCAACCACGGGGUUACCAUGGCGUCUCCAAGCUGCCAACGCCUCUGACUGGAGAGCCCUGCAAGAGUGAAGGAACGCCGCCCACUUUCCCAUUUCUGCUCCCCUCCUACCAAGUAGCCUGUCCUUGCCCUCUUAUGCUGCUUCUCGAAAGUAUAUCUUCCAGCUUAUGCGUGAGCAGGUUAAUACAACCCCAAAGGCAGGGUACUCUGUAUUUGAUGGCGUAGGAUGGUUAACUGCUGUACAAAUAGAAUUAAGAGGGUCCCUUCCCUGGUGUGUUGAAUGUCACAAUAGCUCUGCACCACCAAAUAAAAGUAUUUCAAGAAAUGUGGGGUGGACACCUAAAGCAACAUGUAACCAAACAAUUAUUAUUACUGCUGAUAUGUGGCUGGGAAAACAAGACAACACCAUCAGAGGAGCCUAUGCCUCUCCUCGGGGGUGGCUGUGGGCUUGUGGCACACACGGCUGGCCCUAUCUGCCUUAUAACUGGACUGGCAGAUGCACAUGGGGGCGCCCUUACAUCCCUGUACGCGUCCUGUCUUCCCUUCAACAGCGUCCUUCCAAUUGGGAGGCAGUCCGUGCGCACCAUCGUGUGCGACGUACUGUAGGGUUGUUUCACCCCCUCGCUGUCUUCUCCCCUCCGGCUGUGGCUGUGGAUGUAGAAUGGCAAGUGUCUGCCCUAGCCCAACAUAUGGCAAGAGCCCUCAGUGAUACCAGACAUGCAAUAACUCUACUAAAUGAAGAAACCUCUCAAAUGAGACAAGUAGUGUUACAAAAUAGAAUGGCCUUGGACAUGCUUACCGCAGCCCACGGAGGAAGCUGUGCCCUGAUUAAAGUAGAAUGCUGUGUGUAUAUCCCUGAUCAUGCCCACAGUGUUCCCUCUGUGAUGGCCUCCUUACGUGCUCACGUACAGGCUGUUGAGAACCUGUCCACCAACCCAGUAUCCACUUGGAUACAAUCCCUCCCCUCCACUUGGCAACAUGUUUUCUUUACUGUCCUUGCCUGUUUACUGCUGCUUUUAUUUUCAUGUUGUGCUGUCUAUUGCUGUCAUGGUCUCUGACUACAGUGCUCCUCUGUGUCUGGCUCAAGGGAAGCCACAGAAGACUGGAGCAAUGAGAUUGUAAAGGCCAUUCGGACAUGUGGGGGGUGGAGUGUAGGGGCACUAGCCAGGGUGCCCCUUUAAGACCAUGUGUCCUUGAGGGUCCUUGUCUGGGCUAUGUGCCAGCACCCACAAUGAUAACAGACCUGGGCUUGGCCAACCCAAUUGUGAGCGUGGGAGAGUUAGCACAAAGACCCUCGAGAUCUGAGGAAACACAGAGGCCCUGGGGGGUGGGAGGGCUCUGGUCCCUGGAAUGCAGGUCAUACAGGGAUGAUCCCCCUUGGCAAGCAUGCAGCCUUUGUUCCUCUGCCUACUUAAACAAGCAUCUCCUGGGGGGCAGUAGCGGUGC